UACGGAGGGGACUAGCGUUGUUCGGAAUUACUGGGCGUAAAGCGCACGUAGGCGGAUUUGUAAGUCAGGGGUGAAAUCCCGGGGCUCAACCUCGGAACUGCCUUUGAUACUGCAAAUCUCGAGUCCGGAAGAGGUGAGUGGAAUUCCUAGUGUAGAGGUGAAAUUCGUAGAUAUUAGGAAGAACACCAGUGGCGAAGGCGGCUCACUGGCUCAUUUCUGACGCUCAGGCGCGACAGCGUGGGGAUCAAACAGG
This 253-nucleotide ribosomal RNA is filed under the name uncultured bacterium. RNAcentral's name for it is "partial 16S ribosomal RNA". It matches the Rfam family "Bacterial small subunit ribosomal RNA", at positions 524 to 776 of the family's 1533-position model. The record is from RNAcentral.